RNAcentral lists this ribosomal RNA (730 nucleotides) under Xyleborus rotundicollis. RNAcentral's name for it is "eukaryotic LSU rRNA". It matches the Rfam family "Eukaryotic large subunit ribosomal RNA", at positions 418 to 847 of the family's 3401-position model. Lineage: Eukaryota; Metazoa; Arthropoda; Insecta; Coleoptera; Curculionidae. The record is from RNAcentral.
AACCUGAGAAACCCGAAAGGUCGAAGGGAGAAAUUCAUUCGCGUUUCGACGUAGGCGUCGGGCGUUAUGACGAGCGAAGCGCGGGAUCACCGUUCUUCGGAGCGGAGUUUUGCGCGCGCGCCGUCUUUCGUCCUUCGAACCGGCGACGAACGCGUGCACUUUUCUCCUGGUAGGACGUCGCGAUCCGUCGGGUGUCGGUCUACGACUUGCGGUGGAGCCCGUCCGUCGUCUCGUACGUUACGGACGGACCCGCUCGUUCCGGCCGACUCGCUCGACGGUAUACCUUUGGUCGGAGGCCGCUCGUUAUUUUUGAAGGAGCGUUCGACUCGUCGCAAGCGCGCCACGUGUGUCGGCACGCGGACCUAGUGCCGCGUCCGAUCUCUGGUGACUGUUGGCGACGAAGUUCUCGGACAGACCUCUUUUUUCAUUUCCUCGCGAAAUGAAGAGACCGAUCGGCGACGCUAUAGCUUUGGGUACUUUCAGGACCCGUCUUGAAACACGGACCAAGGAGUCUAGCAUGUACGCGAGUCAUUGGGAAUCACUAAACCUAAAGGCGUAAUGAAAGUGAAGGUCUUCCUUGCGAAGACCGAGGGAAGACGGACGGUUGAACCGCCCUCAAAAGUGGGACCGUCCUACAUUCCCGGGGCGUCUCGUUCACAUCGCGUGAAGAGGCGCACCAAGAGCGUACACGCUGGGACCCGAAAGAUGGUGAACUAUGCCUGGUCAGGAC